This 253-nucleotide ribosomal RNA is filed under the name uncultured bacterium. RNAcentral's name for it is "partial 16S ribosomal RNA". It matches the Rfam family "Bacterial small subunit ribosomal RNA", at positions 524 to 776 of the family's 1533-position model. The record is from RNAcentral.
UACGAAGGGGGCUAGCGUUGUUCGGAAUUACUGGGCGUAAAGGGCGCGUAGGCGGCGCGACAAGUCACUUGUGAAAUCUCCGGGCUUAACCCGGAGCGGCCAAGUGAUACUGUAGUGCUAGAGUGCGGAAGGGGCUACUGGAAUUCUCGGUGUAGCGGUGAAAUGCGUAGAUAUCGAGAGGAACACCUGCGGCGAAGGCGGGUAGCUGGGCCGACACUGACGCUGAGGCGCGAAAGCCAGGGGAGCGAACGGG